Molecule: transfer RNA, 94 nt
Filed under: Niveomyces insectorum RCEF 264
Lineage: Eukaryota; Fungi; Ascomycota; Sordariomycetes; Hypocreales; Cordycipitaceae
Description: Sporothrix insectorum RCEF 264 tRNA
Rfam family: tRNA
About the family: Transfer RNA (tRNA) molecules are approximately 80 nucleotides in length. Their secondary structure includes four short double-helical elements and three loops (D, anti-codon, and T loops).
Source: Rfam by way of RNAcentral
GGUCCGUUAGUCUAGUGGUUAGGACAUUGGAUUUUGAUCAUUCCCCAUAGAAUCUCACAUUCCAGGAACGUCGGUUCAAUUCCGACACGGACCU